Molecule: ribosomal RNA, 461 nt
Filed under: uncultured bacterium
Lineage: Bacteria
Description: bacterial SSU rRNA
Rfam family: Bacterial small subunit ribosomal RNA
Source: RNAcentral
UGGGCUUGACAUCCCACGAACCUGCCGAAAGGCAGGAGUGCCCGCAAGAGAGCGCGGAGACAGGUGGUGCAUGGCUGUCGUCAGCUCGUGUCGUGAGAUGUUGGGUUAAGUCCCGCAACGAGCGCAACCCUUGUCCUCUGUUGCCAUCAGGUGAUGCUGGGCACUCUGGGGAGACUGCCGGUGACAAACCGGAGGAAGGUGGGGAUGACGUCAAGUCAGCAUGGCCUUUAUGUCUGGGGCUACACACGUGCUACAAUGGCCGGUACAAAGCGCCGCGAUCCCGCAAGGGUGAGCUAAUCGCAAAAAGCCGGCCUCAGUUCGGAUUACAGGCUGCAACCCGCCUGCAUGAAGUCGGAAUCGCUAGUAAUCGCAGAUCAGCAGGCUGCGGUGAAUACGUUCCCGGGCCUUGUACACACCGCCCGUCACAUCACGAAAGCUGGCUGUACUCGAAGUCGCUGAGA